Long non-coding RNA from Pectinophora gossypiella (pink bollworm), 427 nucleotides. RefSeq lists it as uncharacterized. The transcript is spliced from 3 exons. NCBI's taxonomy places the organism in Eukaryota, Metazoa, Arthropoda, Insecta, Lepidoptera, Gelechiidae. The record is from RefSeq and is a predicted model, not a curated record.
UCAACGCCAAGCAAACCUAAACUUAAUGACACUGAUUAAAGCUUAUAAUUAAACAAGAGAGACUUACAAGAAGAUUGUGUUUAAUAUGACUACAGAAUAGUGGGAAUCAUAAUGGAAGGAAGACAAAAUAAGAUGCAACGUACGGGUUUUAGCUACAAUAAUUAGUAAGAUUGAAGACUUCUUGACGAUGUUUAUAAUGUAUCCUAUAAAAUAUUCACUCACCAGAAUCGUCCAAAGAUCCAGGAGGGACAGAUAUCUACUCCAAACCUGGAAUCUGUUGCAGAAUAUUAAAGAAAAUUAUGGGAAAACAAAUGUGAAUGACGGACAGAUUUAGUAAGAUGAAAGAUUUAAGCCUACAAGCACACUACUGUUUCUCACAUCAAAGGUACAUUGUUAAUUAUGCGCAUCAAUAUUAAAUAAAGCAGUU